RNAcentral lists this ribosomal RNA (403 nucleotides) under uncultured bacterium. RNAcentral describes it as "partial 16S ribosomal RNA". It matches the Rfam family "Bacterial small subunit ribosomal RNA", at positions 30 to 526 of the family's 1533-position model. The record is from RNAcentral.
AUUGAACGCUGGCGGCAGGCCUAACACAUGCAAGUCGAGCGAGCGGCGGACGGGUGCGUAAUGUAUGGGGACUGCCCGAUCGAGGGGGAUAACUCCUGGAAACGGCAGCUAAUACCGCAUACUAUCGGAUCAACUAUAUGGGAUUAGCUAGUUGGUGGGGUAAAGGCUCACCUAGGCGACGAUCUCUAGCUGGUCUGAGCGGAUGAUCAGCCACACUGGGACGGUGACACGGCCCAGACUCCUCCGGAGGCAGCAGUGGGGAAUAUUGCACAAUGGGAGCAAGCCUGAUGCAGCCAUGCCGCGUGUAUGAAGAAAGCCUUAGGGUUGUAAAGUACUUUCAGCGGGGAGGCGUUACCCGCAGAAGAAGCACCGGCUAACUCCGUGCCAGCCGCCGCGGUAAUAC